RNAcentral lists this ribosomal RNA (240 nucleotides) under Pseudomonas sp. Its description in RNAcentral is "partial 16S ribosomal RNA". It matches the Rfam family "Bacterial small subunit ribosomal RNA", at positions 30 to 270 of the family's 1533-position model. Lineage: Bacteria; Pseudomonadati; Pseudomonadota; Gammaproteobacteria; Pseudomonadales; Pseudomonadaceae. The record is from RNAcentral.
AUUGAACGCUGGCGGCAGGCCUAACACAUGCAAGUCGAGCGGUAGAGAGAAGCUUGCUUCUCUUGAGAGCGGCGGACGGGUGAGUAAUGCCUAGGAAUCUGCCUGGUAGUGGGGGAUAACGUUCGGAAACGGACGCUAAUACCGCAUACGUCCUACGGGAGAAAGCAGGGGACCUUCGGGCCUUGCGCUAUCAGAUGAGCCUAGGUCGGAUUAGCUAGUUGGUGAGGUAAUGGCUCACCA